AUUUUUGUCGACCUUGGCUGUAAGACACUCCUACACAAGCAAAUCAUACAAUUUUAGGUACCCAAAUUUUCUUGGGUCCUUCAUGGUUAGUAAUGUUGGUUCCUUUUGGAACCCAAACUCUUUUAAUUUUUCUUUUAGUUUUUUCUUUUCUAUAAUCACACACAUUUGCUUUAUGUCCUAAUGUUCCACAACAAAAAUA
RNAcentral lists this long non-coding RNA (199 nucleotides) under Phoenix dactylifera (date palm). Its description in RNAcentral is "long non-coding RNA (PDAC_LNC014081)". The record is from RNAcentral. Lineage: Eukaryota; Viridiplantae; Streptophyta; Magnoliopsida; Arecales; Arecaceae.